This 423-nucleotide ribosomal RNA is filed under the name Bacillus subtilis. RNAcentral's name for it is "bacterial SSU rRNA". It matches the Rfam family "Bacterial small subunit ribosomal RNA", at positions 959 to 1383 of the family's 1533-position model. The record is from RNAcentral. Lineage: Bacteria; Bacillati; Bacillota; Bacilli; Caryophanales; Bacillaceae.
ACGCGAAGAACCUUACCAGGUCUUGACAUCCUCUGACAAUCCUAGAGAUAGGACGUCCCCUUCGGGGGCAGAGUGACAGGUGGUGCAUGGUUGUCGUCAGCUCGUGUCGUGAGAUGUUGGGUUAAGUCCCGCAACGAGCGCAACCCUUGAUCUUAGUUGCCAGCAUUCAGUUGGGCACUCUAAGGUGACUGCCGGUGACAAACCGGAGGAAGGUGGGGAUGACGUCAAAUCAUCAUGCCCCUUAUGACCUGGGCUACACACGUGCUACAAUGGACAGAACAAAGGGCAGCGAAACCGCGAGGUUAAGCCAAUCCCACAAAUCUGUUCUCAGUUCGGAUCGCAGUCUGCAACUCGACUGCGUGAAGCUGGAAUCGCUAGUAAUCGCGGAUCAGCAUGCCGCGGUGAAUACGUUCCCGGGCCUUG